AUUUUAUUAGCUUAUUAAAGCAUCGAGCUGUAAAUUCGAAGUAGACAUUGUUCAUGGGCCC
RNAcentral lists this transfer RNA (61 nucleotides) under Cepaea nemoralis (banded wood snail). RNAcentral describes it as "tRNA-Tyr". Lineage: Eukaryota; Metazoa; Mollusca; Gastropoda; Stylommatophora; Helicidae. The record is from RNAcentral.